Long non-coding RNA from Sander lucioperca (pikeperch), 199 nucleotides. RefSeq lists it as uncharacterized. The transcript has 3 exons. The record is from RefSeq and is a predicted model, not a curated record. NCBI's taxonomy places the organism in Eukaryota, Metazoa, Chordata, Actinopteri, Perciformes, Percidae.
GCUGAAGCUGAAGCUGGAGAUGAUGACGUCACAUACAGUGAAGUCACCAUAUCACGUAACCUGCAGCAGCCAAUCAGACGGAGCAGAGAGAGUGAUCCUGCUGUAAUCUACUCCGGAGUGAGAACAGAAGACGUCUGUUACGGACAAAUAGUGAACAAAGACAAGAAGUCAAACAGGAAGAGAGAGAGUGAUCCUGCUG